RNAcentral lists this ribosomal RNA (440 nucleotides) under uncultured bacterium. RNAcentral's name for it is "partial 16S ribosomal RNA". It matches the Rfam family "Bacterial small subunit ribosomal RNA", at positions 338 to 795 of the family's 1533-position model. The record is from RNAcentral.
CCUACGGGGGGCAGCAGUAGGGAAUAUUGCUCAAUGGGGGAAACCCUGAAGCAGCAACGCCGCGUGGAGGAUGAAGGUUUUCGGAUUGUAAACUCCUUUUGUUAGAGAAGAUAAUGACGGUAUCUAACGAAUAAGCACCGGCUAACUCCGUGCCAGCAGCCGCGGUAAUACGGAGGGUGCAAGCGUUACUCGGAAUCACUGGGCGUAAAGAGCGCGUAGGCGGGUUAGCAAGUCAGAUGUGAAAUCCUAUGGCUUAACCAUAGAACUGCAUUUGAAACUGUUAUUCUAGAGUAUGGGAGAGGUAGGUGGAAUUCUUGGUCUAGGGGUAGAAUGCGUAGAGAUCAAGAGGAAUACUCAUUGCGAAGGCGACCUGCUAGAACAUAACUGACGCUGAUGCGCGAAAGCGUGGGGAGCAAACAGGAUUAGAUACCCGGGUAGUC